RNAcentral lists this ribosomal RNA (710 nucleotides) under Tyrannochthonius sp. 3524. RNAcentral describes it as "partial large subunit ribosomal RNA". Lineage: Eukaryota; Metazoa; Arthropoda; Arachnida; Pseudoscorpiones; Chthoniidae. The record is from RNAcentral.
AUAUUAUUAAGUGGAGGAAAAGAAACCAAAAGGGAUUCCCCCAGUAGCGGCGAGCGAAAAGGGACCAGCCCAAAGCCGAAUCCCGCGCCCCACGGGCGUCGAGAAAUGUGGCGUAUGGGAGGCGGUACUAAACGCGCGUUAGAGGGCGGCCCAAGUCCCCAUGAACGGGGCCUAGACCGGAGCGGGUGAGAGUCCCGUACGGUCGCCCUCUUCGCGCCUUGCCACCGUCCUCCCGGGAGUCGGGUUGCUUGAAAGUGCAACCCAAAGUGGGUGGUAUGCUCCACCUAAGGCUAAAUAUCCCCGAGAGACCGAUAGCAAAAAAGUACCGUGAGGGAAAGUUGAAAAGAACUUUGAAGAGAGAGUUCAAUAGUACGUGAAACCGCUUAGAGGUAAACUGGUGGGCCCUCGAAGUCUGAAGGCGGUUCGAUUCAUCUCCCCGGUCCUCCAAGGGCCCCGGAGAGUAUUUCGGUUCCGCCGGUAAGAGGCCGCGACGGGUCGAUCGAGGUUCGGAAGGACGGCCUGGGAGGAUAGGUGGCCCGCAGCGCGCUUCGGCGCGAUUGCGGGUGUUAAGCCUCCCGGCAGGUAUAGCCGAUCUUCGCUGCCGACUCGGGAAGAGAGAGACUCUCGCACGGCGCUGCCUCCUACGAAYUGGAGGCAAAAAAAGCCGGAGGUCAGCGGUCAGUAGAUCGGGUCCCACCCGACCCGUCUUG